GUAAUUACGUGUGCUUGUCUGAUCUUCCAACUUCUCUUUCUAAAAGCCGGUCUCAUCCAUCCUUGGAGAACUCUUCUUUUGGGAGAAGAUGAUGAUUUACUCAUAGGAUGAGAUCGUUGAAUGGAAGGUUCUACAAGUUUUUCCCGGCAGAUUUCUCCGACCGUUCCGGCGAGAGGCGGUGCUCUAAUUGCAAACUCCGUUACAGCCAUGCCGAUACAGGGAAUUGUUAUGUGUUGACUCCUUUGUUGUUAAGAUGCAAGUCCCUUUGUGGUGGUAUUAUGCAAUUUGAUAAUAUGGUUUUUAGCAUUGAUCUACUUUGGUUUCGUGAAAAGCUCCAACAGGCUAUGAUGAUAGUGGUGAAAUGUUGCUAGGCAUGGCAUAAUCGAGGACGGCAGGUGUAAUGUUUUUCACCUGCAACCCGUGUUGCAGCCAUGAUUAUCAAACAACUAGAUCUGAGCCUAAUCUGCAAACAUGGUUGCAUAAAUUCAUAAAGCGGAUUGAUUAGCUUUGUUCUGUAUUUUGUGUGUUCUUUUUAUUUAUUUAUUUAUUUGUUCAUAUGGCAUUGUGGUCGCUGUUUAAAAGCAUUUACAACAAUAAUGAUUUCAAGAUGUAUACUAUACCAUUAUGUUUAUGUUUCUUAAAGUUUAUGAGUAAGUUCGAUUCUUUAAAGGGGUUUGCUUGCUAUUCUAUUUGCAGCAAGCUAAUAUCUGGUCACGUGUUUGAGCUUGCCACCAAAACUACCGUAGACUAAUCCUUCGCUCAAACACAUCAAUCUCUAUUCUGCAGAUAAGGAUAAAAAACUGAUAUUUUAAGUUAAACCUGCGAUUUGAUUGUUUGAUUCUGUUGUGAGUCUCCUUGAUCAAGUUGAUUUGAUGAUUAAAUUUGUGUCUUUGUUUGUUUCAUGUAGUGCAUUUUCAGCUAGGCUUUGACAACCCUAAACUGGAUGCAUAUCGCAUCUCCUUCUCUUUCUCUCCGUCACCUGUAUUUUUUUCAUUGUUGGAAUAAAACAACACGUCUCGACUUUGACUGGAGAUAGUAAUGGAGGGUUAGAGCCUUAGAGGUGGUAUACGAAGUGUGUGUCAGCGAUGGCGCAACGGUCAUCUAGGGCUCUGACCAAGGGGUUUAUUAGAAGUGGAACCGGUCAGUACUAAGGUUUCGGUCAGCUUUGUGGGUUGGAGUAGUUUCGGGCAUUCAUGCUAACCAUAAAAGGCCUUGGCAGUUCCCUCUUAAAAAAACAGAUUUUGUGGGGUCCCGAAGGAUAUCGGGUCGGUUGAGAAAGAUUUUACAAGUUUUAAUUUAUCCAUUAAGAACAAUGUGCUGGGGGUAGUGGGGAACCGGUACAAAAUCAAAUUUGGUUAAGACUAUUGGCUAGAAGGUUGUCCACUCAGGAGCAGGCUUCCAGCUGUAUUUAAUUUAGUGGAAGAUAAAGAAGCGUGGGUGGCUCAAUGUGGGUACCAGCUGGGAGGGGAGAUGCUUUGGUUAUGGGAUUGGAUUUCAGGUAUGUUAAGAAUAUCGAAUGGAAGAAGUAUAAGGAUCUUAUGGAUUGUUUGAGCUCUCUGAAAAUCAGCGAGUAACCAGAUAAGUGGGUUUGGAAACCGAGUAAGGAAGAGUCCUUUUCAGCGGCGGGUGUACGGGAGGAGCUUAAAAAAGUUUACGCACCCAAUUUGGGAUAUGGGAUGGGAUCGGUGGAACAGUUGGGCUCCAGCAGAGCUGAACUACUUUAUGUGGAGAGCCUUCGACGAGAGAUGCGGGAUAGGGACUAAGACAUGCGAUCAUCUCCUUUCUUCUUGCAUCAUUGCCCAGUCGAUAUUGUGGUGCAUCCUGGUGUGGCUAAAAAUCCCGAUACCAUCAAAUCAGUUCUCAACUAAAGGUUUAUGGGAUCUCUUGGGGAAAUGUAAGGGUUCCAAGUAGUGGAAGAAAGUGGUGGGCAUUGUCUUUCUUCCCACAUCCUGGGCUAUAUGGACGCACAGGAACGAGCUGCAAUUUAAUUGGAGAAACGGGUCGAUUACUAAGGCAGUGGAUGCGAUUAAGGAGAUGUCUCUGGUUUGGGUUAGGUGUGGAUCUAAAUUAAAAGAGCUUGAUUGGGGUAGGUGGCGUGAGUUCAGUGUAAGGGACGCGACCUGUGUGUUUUGUUUUUUGGGUGCCAGUGUUGCUUACUGAAUGUUGAUAUGUUCAAAAAAGAAACUAAGGUUUCGGUAGUUUUGUUAUCAGUGGAAUUCUCUAGAUAGCCGAUGCAGUAAUCAUUAUUUCCGAUAUCUUUAGGGAACUUGCUGUCUGGAAGCACCAAGUGGAGUGACCACUAUUGUGUGUAGCUUCUUACUAAUACUUUAAAAUGUAGAAUCCUGCAAGAGAAUAAAUAUUCACUUCGCUAACAAUUAUAUGUUUCCCUAGAGAAGGAAUUAUAAUUUAGUAUGCAUAAAGACACUUCCUCUAAUUAUAUAUAUAAAACUUACAGGUGUCUUGUGUUGGUG
Helianthus annuus (common sunflower) is the source of this 2471-nucleotide long non-coding RNA. RefSeq lists it as uncharacterized. Lineage: Eukaryota; Viridiplantae; Streptophyta; Magnoliopsida; Asterales; Asteraceae. The transcript is spliced from 2 exons. The record is from RefSeq and is a predicted model, not a curated record.